CAUUAUCACGUGUAGAAAUUGAUUACACAUCAAGCGUAAGAUAAAUUUGACCAACUCUAUGAGAACACUGUACAUUUUGUGCACUGUGUAUAUUUUGUGUUUCUGUCUUAGUUUGGUUGAAUCCAUCUUCCAUAGCUUGUCAUUUGUAAUCUUUAUAUCAUUUUAUUUAAGCCAUCAUGCAAAAAAAAGACCAAACUAAAUGCAACAGCAUAGUCCACAAAGUCAACCAAAAAAAA
RNAcentral lists this long non-coding RNA (236 nucleotides) under Musa acuminata (dwarf banana). RNAcentral describes it as "long non-coding RNA (MACU_LNC000559)". The record is from RNAcentral. Lineage: Eukaryota; Viridiplantae; Streptophyta; Magnoliopsida; Zingiberales; Musaceae.